AAUGUCGUUUUCUUUUUCCUUCUCUAAGAUCCUGAUAGUGUAGAGGUUACAGAUCUUUCUGAGACUAUGGAGAGGCAGUGUUGAAGCACUUGGAGAACUCUAUUGAUUUGGACCCAAAGCUUCAGAAAGCUCCAGUAAAUUAUAAAGGAGUCCGGGUAUCUGGGUUUGGAGGAUGGUUCCUUCUGAGGCUCUCGCUUUAUGAUCCUGUUCUUCCUCUUAACAUUGAGGCACCAACUCACGAUGACGCUGUAAAACUUGGACUUGCUGUGCUUGGGGCUAUUAAGGAGUUUGCAGCUUUGGAUACAUCCGCUUUAGACAAGUUUGUUCAAGUAUCAUGAGCCGAUGAUGCAGAGCGCUUUGGUACAAGUAUCUUUCGGCACAUUAGACUAGCAGUUAAAGUUGGCUUUGGUGUCUACCUCUAUACAGUACGUAUAAUCAGUGCGUCAAUCUCUGAUGCUGAGGAGGUUCAUUUUCCAGAUGGUUUUGGUCACAGGCACUCAAAAUAGUACUUGAUGGCUAUGUUUACUUUAGUUUUUACUUAUGUUCCAUGUAUGCAACAGGGAUGUUCUG
This is a long non-coding RNA of Eucalyptus grandis, 570 nucleotides long. RefSeq lists it as uncharacterized. NCBI's taxonomy places the organism in Eukaryota, Viridiplantae, Streptophyta, Magnoliopsida, Myrtales, Myrtaceae. The record is from RefSeq and is a predicted model, not a curated record. The transcript is spliced from 3 exons.